UACAGAGGUCUCAAGCGUUGUUCGGAUUCAUUGGGCGUAAAGGGUGCGUAGGUGGCGCCGUAAGUCGGGUGUGAAAUUUCGGAGCUUAACUCCGAAACUGCAUUCGAUACUGCGGUGCUUGAGGACUGGAGAGGAGACUGGAAUUCCUGGUGUAGCAGUGAAAUGCGUAGAUAUCAGGAGGAAUACCGAUGGCGAAGGCAGGUCUCUGGGCUGACACUGACGCUCAUGCACGAAAGCGUGGGGAGCAAACAGGAUUGAGAA
This 261-nucleotide ribosomal RNA is filed under the name uncultured bacterium. Its description in RNAcentral is "partial 16S ribosomal RNA". It matches the Rfam family "Bacterial small subunit ribosomal RNA", at positions 524 to 784 of the family's 1533-position model. The record is from RNAcentral.